UACAGAGGGUGCGAGCGUUAAUCGGAAUUACUGGGCGUAAAGCGUGCGUAGACGGUUAUUUAAGUCGGGUGUGAAAGCCCCGGGCUCAACCUGGGAAUUGCAUUCGAGACUGAAUAGCUAGGGUACGGUAGAGGGAAGUGGAAUUUCCGGUGUAGCGGUGAAAUGCGUAGAUAUCUGGAGGAAUACCGGUGGCGAAGGCGGCAUCCUGGACCGAGAUUGACACUGAUGAGCGAAAGCUAGGGGAGCAAACGGG
RNAcentral lists this ribosomal RNA (253 nucleotides) under uncultured bacterium. RNAcentral describes it as "partial 16S ribosomal RNA". It matches the Rfam family "Bacterial small subunit ribosomal RNA", at positions 524 to 776 of the family's 1533-position model. The record is from RNAcentral.